Molecule: unclassified non-coding RNA, 264 nt
Filed under: Hevea brasiliensis (rubber tree)
Lineage: Eukaryota; Viridiplantae; Streptophyta; Magnoliopsida; Malpighiales; Euphorbiaceae
Source: RNAcentral
GAUGGAAAAUGCUGACGUCAUUGCCAGCCCACAGAGAAGCGACGAAAAGCGAAUCACACCCUCGAAUAUUCAACUUCUCUCUCACCUCUUUCUCUGUCGACUGGGGAAAAAAAAAUGUAUACCACGCAUCAAAGAUUCGUUUUGUACGCGACGCCCCGACUUCGAUCUCUUUCUUUCCUUACCUCUCCUCACUUCUCAUCCUUCUUCCUAUCAUUUUUUCCAAACGGCAAACCUUAAUCUUAUAAAAUUCUCUCUCUAAAGAAA